RNAcentral lists this transfer RNA (75 nucleotides) under SAR324 cluster bacterium. RNAcentral's name for it is "tRNA-Val". It matches the Rfam family "tRNA". Rfam says of the family: Transfer RNA (tRNA) molecules are approximately 80 nucleotides in length. Their secondary structure includes four short double-helical elements and three loops (D, anti-codon, and T loops). RNAcentral also lists the same sequence under 1 other name. Lineage: Bacteria; Deltaproteobacteria. The record is from RNAcentral.
GGGCUCGUAGCUCAGUGGGAGAGCGCCUGCCUCACACGCAGGAAGUCGCUGGUUCGAACCCAGCCGGGCCCACCA